This 315-nucleotide unclassified non-coding RNA is filed under the name plant metagenome. RNAcentral describes it as "partial contains 5.8S ribosomal RNA, internal transcribed spacer 2, and large subunit ribosomal RNA". The stretch from base 1 to 105 matches the Rfam family "5.8S ribosomal RNA", at positions 50 to 154 of the family's 154-position model. The record is from RNAcentral.
GAACUGCGAUAAGUAAUGUGAAUUGCAGAAUUCAGUGAAUCAUCGAGUCUUUGAACGCACAUUGCGCCCCCUGGCAUUCCGGGGGGCAUGCCUGUCCGAGCGUCAUUGCUGCCCUUCAAGCCCGGCUUGUGUGUUGGGUCGUCGUCCCCUCCGGGGGACGGGCCCGAAAGGCAGCGGCGGCACCGCGUCUGGUCCUCGAGCGUAUGGGGCUUUGUCACCCGCUCGAUAAGGACCGGCCGGGCGCCAGCCGGCGUCUCCAACCUUUUUUUCUCAGGUUGACCUCGGAUCAGGUAGGGAUACCCGCUGAACUUAAGC